RNAcentral lists this ribosomal RNA (461 nucleotides) under uncultured ammonia-oxidizing beta proteobacterium. Its description in RNAcentral is "bacterial SSU rRNA". It matches the Rfam family "Bacterial small subunit ribosomal RNA", at positions 194 to 646 of the family's 1533-position model. The record is from RNAcentral. Lineage: Bacteria; Pseudomonadati; Pseudomonadota; Betaproteobacteria.
AAGUAGGGGAUCGCAAGACCUUGCGCUUUUGGAGUGGCCGAUGCCUGAUUAGCUAGUUGGUGGGGUAAUGGCCUACCAAGGCGACGAUCAGUAGUUGGUCUGAGAGGACGACCAGCCACACUGGGACUGAGACACGGCCCAGACUCCUACGGGAGGCAGCAGUGGGGAAUUUUGGACAAUGGGCGAAAGCCUGAUCCAGCAAUGCCGCGUGAGUGAAGAAGGCCUUCGGGUUGUAAAGCUCUUUCAGUCGAGAAGAAAAGGUUGUGACUAAUAAUCACAACUCAUGACGGUAUCGACAGAAGAAGCACCGGCUAACUACGUGCCAGCAGCCGCGGUAAUACGUAGGGUGCGAGCGUUAAUCGGAAUUACUGGGCGUAAAGGGUGCGCAGGCGGCUUUGUAAGUCAGAUGUGAAAUCCCCGGGCUUAACCUGGGAAUUGCGUUUGAAACUACAAAGCUUAGA